AGGUGUGAACAGAUGAUGAGGACACAUUGCUGACAAAACUUUAUCCUCGACGAGGAGGGCACAUGUGGCUGCUGUCGAAACAAGCGAAGGACCCGAGUCAUCAACAAACUCUUUAGCUGCUCCAUUGAAUGCAGUACAACCGUUGCUUGGGACCGGUGUUAUUAGGCAUGGAGAGGGACGAGCUACUACAGUUGCCAUGCUAAGCAUGGCAUUGACCAUAGGUACGUGUUAAGUUUUAUCUUACAGGUUACCUUGUUUAGUGGAUGUUAAUAUGUAACAUACAUACUAACUGUUGUUGGUUGCAUGAUAAACACAAUCCAUAAAACUUCCAUUCAGAAAUUCAGAAACUGAACAAACAUUGGUUUGAA
Molecule: long non-coding RNA, 368 nt
Filed under: Brassica napus (rape)
Lineage: Eukaryota; Viridiplantae; Streptophyta; Magnoliopsida; Brassicales; Brassicaceae
Description: long non-coding RNA (BNAP_LNC009529)
Source: RNAcentral